RNAcentral lists this ribosomal RNA (413 nucleotides) under uncultured bacterium. Its description in RNAcentral is "bacterial SSU rRNA". It matches the Rfam family "Bacterial small subunit ribosomal RNA", at positions 28 to 430 of the family's 1533-position model. The record is from RNAcentral.
GAUGAACGCUAGCGAUAGGCCUAACACAUGCAAGUCGAGGGGCAUCACAUGAAGUAGCAAUACGGAUGGUGGCGACCGGCGCACGGGGUGAGUAACACGUAUGCAACCUGCCUUCAACAAGGGGAUAACCCGUUGAAAGACGGACUAAUACCCUAUAACACAGGGGUCCCGCAUGGGAAUAUUUGUUAAAGGACAACCGGUUGAAGAUGGGCAUGCGUUCCAUUAGCUAGUUGGCGGGGUAACGGCCCACCAAGGCAACGAUGGAUAGGGGAACUGAGAGGUUUAUCCCCCACACUGGUACUGAGACACGGACCAGACUCCUACGGGAGGCAGCAGUGAGGAAUAUUGGUCAAUGGACGCAAGUCUGAACCAGCCACGUCGCGUGAAGGAAGACGGCCCUACGGGUUGUAAAC